This 506-nucleotide ribosomal RNA is filed under the name uncultured bacterium. RNAcentral's name for it is "partial 16S ribosomal RNA". It matches the Rfam family "Bacterial small subunit ribosomal RNA", at positions 30 to 523 of the family's 1533-position model. The record is from RNAcentral.
AUUGAACGCUGGCGGCAGGCCUAACACAUGCAAGUCGAACGGUAACAGGAAACAGCUUGCUGUUUCGCUGACGAGUGGCGGACGGGUGAGUAAUGUCUGGGAAACUGCCUGAUGGAGGGGGAUAACUACUGGAAACGGUAGCUAAUACCGCAUAACGUCGCAAGACCAAAGAGGGGGACCUUCGGGCCUCUUGCCAUCGGAUGUGCCCAGAUGGGAUUAGCUAGUAGGUGGGGUAACGGCUCACCUAGGCGACGAUCCCUAGCUGGUCUGAGAGGAUGACCAGCCACACUGGAACUGAGACACGGUCCAGACUCCUACGGGAGGCAGCAGUGGGGAAUAUUGCACAAUGGGCGCAAGCCUGAUGCAGCCAUGCCGCGUGUAUGAAGAAGGCCUUCGGGUUGUAAAGUACUUUCAGCGGGGAGGAAGGGAGUAAAGUCAAUACCUUUGCUCAUUGACAUUACCCGCAGAAGAAGCGCCGGCUAACUCCGUGCCAGCCGCCGCGGUAA